UACGUAGGGGGCAAGCGUUGUCCGGAAUCAUUGGGCGUAAAGAGCUCGUAGGCGGUUCGUCGCGUCGGCUGUGAAAACCUGAGGCUCAACCUCAGGCCUGCAGUCGAUACGGGCGGACUUGAGUACUGCAGGGGAGACUGGAAUUCCUGGUGUAGCGGUGAAAUGCGCAGAUAUCAGGAGGAACACCGGUGGCGAAGGCGGGUCUCUGGGCAACAACUGACGCUGAGGAGCGAAAGCGUGGGGAGCGAACAGG
This 253-nucleotide ribosomal RNA is filed under the name uncultured bacterium. RNAcentral describes it as "partial 16S ribosomal RNA". It matches the Rfam family "Bacterial small subunit ribosomal RNA", at positions 524 to 776 of the family's 1533-position model. The record is from RNAcentral.